RNAcentral lists this ribosomal RNA (465 nucleotides) under uncultured bacterium. RNAcentral's name for it is "partial 16S ribosomal RNA". It matches the Rfam family "Bacterial small subunit ribosomal RNA", at positions 338 to 795 of the family's 1533-position model. The record is from RNAcentral.
CCUACGGGUGGCAGCAGUGGGGAAUAUUGCGCAAUGGGCGAAAGCCUGACGCAGCGACGCCGCGUGAGGGAUGAAGGUCUUCGGAUCGUAAACCUCUGUCAGCAGGGAAGAACGGUCACUGUGCUAAUCAGCAGUGAAUUGACGGUACCUGCAAAGGAAGCACCGGCUAACUCCGUGCCAGCAGCCGCGGUAAUACGGAGGGUGCGAGCGUUAAUCGGAAUUACUGGGCGUAAAGCGCUCGUAGGCGGUAUGUCAAGUCAAGGGUGAAAUACCCGCGCUCAACGUGGGAACUGCCUGUGAAACUGGCAAACUGGAGUGUGGGAGAGGAUAGUGGAAUGCCAGGUGUAGGGGUGAAAUGCGUAGAUAUCUGGAGGAACAUCAGUGGCGAAGGCGACUAUCUGGCACAUAACUGACGCUGAGGAGCGAAAGCGUGGGUAGCAAACAGGAUUAGAUACCCCAGUAGUC